UGCUACAGGCUUAACACAUGCAAGUCGAGGGGCAUCAGGAAGAAAGCUUGCUUUCUUUGCUGGCGACCGGCGCACGGGUGAGUAACACGUAUCCAACCUGCCCUUUACUCGGGGAUAGCCUUCCGAAAGAAAGAUUAAUACCCGAUGGCAUAAUGAUUCCGCAUGGUUUCAUUAUUAAAGGAUUCCGGUAAAGGAUGGGGAUGCGUUCCAUUAGGUUGUUGGUGGGGUAACGGCUCACCAAGCCUUCGAUGGAUAGGGGUUCUGAGAGGAAGGUCCCCCACAUUGGAACUGAGACACGGUCCAAACUCCUACGGGAGGCAGCAGUGAGGAAUAUUGGUCAAUGGGCGCUAGCCUGAACCAGCCAAGUAGCGUGAAGGAUGAAGGCUCUAUGGGUCGUAAACUUCUUUUAUAUAAGAAUAAAGUGCAGUAUGUAUACUGUUUUGUAUGUAUUAUAUGAAUAAGGAUCGGCUAACUCCGUGCCAGCAGCCGCGGUAAUACGGAGGAUCCGAGCGUUAUCCGGAUUUAUUGGGUUUAAAGGGAGCGUAGGUGGACUGGUAAGUCAGUUGUGAAAGUUUGCGGCUCAACCGUAAAAUCGCAGUUGAUACUGUCAGUCUUGAGUACAGUAGAGGUGGGCGGAAUUCGUGGUGUAGCGGUGAAAUGCUUAGAUAUCACGAAGAACUCCGAUUGCGAAGGCAGCUCACUGGACUGCAACUGACACUGAUGCUCGAAAGUGUGGGUAUCAAACAGGAUUAGAUACCCUGGUAGUCCACACAGUAAACGAUGAAUACUCGCUGUUUGCGAUAUACAGUAAGCGGCCAAGCGAAAGCAUUAAGUAUUCCACCUGGGGAGUACGCCGGCAACGGUGAAACUCAAAGGAAUUGACGGGGGCCCGCACAAGCGGAGGAACAUGUGGUUUAAUUCGAUGAUACGCGAGGAACCUUACCCGGGCUUAAAUUGCAGUGGAAUGAUGUGGAAACAUGUCAGUGAGCAAUCACCGCUGUGAAGGUGCUGCAUGGUUGUCGUCAGCUCGUGCCGUGAGGUGUCGGCUUAAGUGCCAUAACGAGCGCAACCCUUAUCUUUAGUUACUAACAGGUCAUGCUGAGGACUCUAGAGAGACUGCCGUCGUAAGAUGUGAGGAAGGUGGGGAUGACGUCAAAUCAGCACGGCCCUUACGUCCGGGGCUACACACGUGUUACAAUGGGGGGUACAGAAGGCAGCUAGCGGGUGACCGUAUGCUAAUCCCAAAAUCCUCUCUCAGUUCGGAUCGAAGUCUGCAACCCGACUUCGUGAAGCUGGAUUCGCUAGUAAUCGCGCAUCAGCCACGGCGCGGUGAAUACGUUCCCGGGCCUUGUACACACCGCCCGUCAAGCCAUGGGAGCCGGGGGUACCUGAAGUACGUAACAGCAAGGAUCGUCCUAGGGUAAAACUGGUGAC
RNAcentral lists this ribosomal RNA (1434 nucleotides) under uncultured organism. RNAcentral's name for it is "SSU rRNA". It matches the Rfam family "Bacterial small subunit ribosomal RNA". The record is from RNAcentral.